AACGAACGCUGGCGGCAUGCCUAACACAUGCAAGUCGAACGAGACCUUCGGGUCUAGUGGCGCACGGGUGCGUAACGCGUGGGAACCUGCCCUUAGGUUCGGAAUAACUCCCCGAAAGGGGUGCUAAUACCGGAUAAUGUCUUCGGACCAAAGAUUUAUCGCCUUUGGAUGGGCCCGCGUUGGAUUAGCUAGUUGGUAGGGUAAAAGCCUACCAAGGCGACGAUCCAUAGCUGGUUUGAGAGGAUGAUCAGCCACACUGGGACUGAGACACGGCCCAGACUCCUACGAGAGGCAGCAGUGGGGAAUAUUGGACAAUGGGCGAGAGCCUGAUCCAGCAAUGCCGCGUGAGUGAUGAAGGCCUUAGGGUUGUAAAGCUCUUUUACCCGGGAUGAUAAUGACAGUACCGGGAGAAUAAGCUCCGGCUAACUCCGUG
This 433-nucleotide ribosomal RNA is filed under the name uncultured bacterium. Its description in RNAcentral is "partial 16S ribosomal RNA". It matches the Rfam family "Bacterial small subunit ribosomal RNA", at positions 29 to 507 of the family's 1533-position model. The record is from RNAcentral.